Molecule: long non-coding RNA, 1322 nt
Organism: Lutra lutra (Eurasian river otter)
Lineage: Eukaryota; Metazoa; Chordata; Mammalia; Carnivora; Mustelidae
Exons: 3
Source: RefSeq, a predicted model, not a curated record
UUACCUAAUUACUGCUCUGCGGCCAGGCACGGGGGAGGGGCCUGAAGUGUGUGCUUCCUGUCCUCAGCAUGAACCGCCUGGGAGCCGCUUUGUCGCAGCUGUGCCGCAGCUGCUGUGAGACGCUGACGCUACGUCCCCUGUUCCCUGUGACUAAUGGUAAAAGUAAGACACUGAGCCCGAGAAGCAUCACUCCUAAAACCACUGUAGUAAUCAGGUGUUUGAAAGUCACUGUGAAGAACUGCCGUAACUUUGUAUCCACUGGCACUGAUGAUAAGCGCUGACGUCCCUGAGCUCCUUUUAUGUGCCAGACACUCUCCUAAGUGCCGCGCGGGUCUCGGCUCCGUGAAUCCUGGCAGCGCUCCCAGGGCGUGAGCCCAUUUUGCAGCUGAGUGCGGACCCGCGCCGGUCGGGCAACUUGCUGCCGGCGUCGCUCUGCCGGGCUCUCCGAAGCAGAAGCUGGCGUGGGCUCAGGACCGCCUGAUCUGUUGAGCGUGUCCUGCCCUUCAAGAGAGCCUGUGGCCAAGCAGGGCGGCGGGAUCCAGCAGGGAGACUGAGCUGAACAAGGAAGGCGUCUAGCCUCACGGGAUCCAGGUGGAAGAGCAAGGGGGGCAGAGCUGGUGGCUGUAGGAGUGGUCGCAGACGCCCGUCCUCCAAGGCCGUGCUCCAGAGUGGGUCGCAGAGUCCCGGGCAGAACGGAUCUCUUCAGCUAAAAAUGUAAGAACUUAGAGUGAAAUAGCUGGGACUGACGUUAGAGCCUUUCUACCCUGGGAAACUCCUUCCGGAGAAAGAGUGUGUGUUCAUCCUGAUUACCUGAAGGGAAAAAAAUAUUUUAAAACUGGUUAUUUAAUAAUUGGAUAUUGAGAACACACCAGAGGUGAACAUUACCAAGUUUCCAAACCAGGAACGGGCUCUUCCUGAAACAGAUCGGCCUGGAAACGAGCUGCUCAGGGGGCCAGACCGCUCCUGUCUUCUCAUCAGCCCUGCUCUUCUGAAAAGGACAGGCUCACCUCUCACCCAUCUUGGGUUUUAAAAUAGUAUAUUGCCCCUCAGUGUAAAAUCUUCCUGGACAAUUAGAAAUAAUUGCUAUUAUUGUUCAAAAAAUGAUAUCUGCCUACGGAAGUGCCCAGUGGACUAUGAGACAUCCAGUUAAAUUUGAAUGUAAGAUAAGCAAUGAAUCAUACAUUGCAUGGGACAAACUUACACCAAAAAGUUAUUUAUCUCAAGUUUAAAUUUAACCAGGUAUCCUAUAUUUUAUUUUAAAAAUAUUUUAUUCAUUCGAGAGAGAGAGAGCACAAGUGAGUGGGAUGAGGGGCAGAGGGAGA